GGUGGAUGCAGCAAAAUAUGAACCCUGCAGUAUUUUAAGCCAGCUGUUGACUUUGAUCGAGACAGCCGCAUCUUCUCGUGCAGUGCCAGCCUCGUCUCAUAGACAAGAUGGUGAAGGUCAGUGUGAAUGGAUUUGGCCGUAUUGGGCGCCUGGUUAUCAGGGCUGCCUUCUCCUCUGCAUCUGGCAAAGUGGAGACUGUUGCCAUCAAUGACCCUUUCAUUGACCUCAACUACAUGGUCUACAUGUUCCAGUAUGACUCUACCCACGGCAAGUUCAACGGCACAGUCAAGGCUGAGAAUGGGAAGCUUGUCAACAACGGGAAGCCCAUCACCACCUUCCAGGAGCAAGAUCCUGCUAACAUCAAAUGGGGUGACGCUGGUGCUGAGUAUGUCGUGGAGUCUACUGGCAUCUUCACCACCAUGGAGAAGGCUGGGGCUCACUUGAAGGGUAGAGCCAAAGGGGUCAUCAUCUCCGCCCCUUCAGCUGAUGCCCCCAUGUUUGUAAUGGGUGUGAACCACAAGAAAUAUGACAACUCCCUCAAGAUUGUCAGCAAUGCAUUCUGCACCACCAACUGCUUAGCCCCCCUGACCGAGGUCAUCCAUGACAACUUUGACAUCGAGGAAGGGCUCAUGACCACAGUCCAUGCCAUCACUGCCACUCAGAAGACUGUGGAUAGCCCCUCUGGAAAGCUGUGGUGUGAAGGCCAUGGGGCAGGUCAGAACAUCAUCCCUGCAUCCACUGGUGCUGCCAAGGCUGUGGACAAGGUCAUCCCAGAGCUGAACGGGAAGUUCACUGGUAUGGCCUUCCGUGUUCCUACCCCCAAUGUAUCCGUUGUGGCUCUGACAUGCUGCCUGGAGAAACCUGCCAAGUAUGAUGACAUCAAGAAGGUGGUGAAGCAGGCAUCUGAAGGCCCACUAAAGGGCAUCCUGGGCUACACUGAGGACCAGGUUGUCUCCUGUAACUUCAACAGCAACUUCCAAUCUUCCACCUUUGAUGUUGGGGCUGGCAUUGCUCUCAGUGACAACUUUGUAAAGCUCAUUUCCUGGUAUGACAAUGAAUAUGGCUACAGCAACAGGGUGGUUGACCUCAUGGCCUACAUGGCCUUGAAGGAGUAAGAAACCCAGACCCACCCACCCCAGCCCAACAAGGAUACUGAGAGCAAGAGAGAGGCCCUCGGUUGCUGAGGAGUCCCCAUCCCAACUCAACCCCCAACACUGAGCAUCUCCCUCACAAUUCCAUCCCAGAUCCCCAUAAUAACAGGAGGGGCCUAGGGAGCCCUCCCUACUCUCUUGAAUACCAUCAAUAAAGUUCGCUGCACCCAAAAAAAUAUUAUUAUAUAUACUACUUAGUCUCCCUCUGAAAGCCAGCAGCAGACUUCUGAAUAACACAUCAUCUUGUGUAUGUGUUACAUACAUGUUCUCCAAUAACAAGGUAAGAAGUUGAUUCCUUUAAUGACACAAGAAUUUCAAGACAUUCUUUCCCCUUCAGCAUUUCUAAGACUUCUUGUUAGUUCUAGGAGGGUGUAAGUCUAUAAAGUAUCAAUUAAAUGUUCUUGAUUGUGGAUAAGACUUGCAAAAGAAAGCCCUGUUAGCAGAAUGACCGUUGCCUCAUAUCUCUUACAGUUAAGAUUGUGCCAUGCUGUAUUCCAGAUUUAAAACUGAGUGUCAAAUUAAAUUUAACCAAGGGAGUCCAAAGCUCAAAGUCUAUCAGAGAUUAUAGCACUGCUGACAGCUGCCUCCUAGAUCAUUCUGAUUACAGGUGUGCAUGAUAAAACUCUAGGGAAUACUGGCUCACUGCCAACCCAUUAGUUCAACAUUUAGAGAUUUGUUUGUUUAUCUUUAUAUGUUAAUAUUAAAGAAAAUGUAUCACUCCUGACAGCAGGAGAGCUCAACCUCCAGAGUUCUGCUACUGUGUGAUCACUAUAUCUCUCUACUUUUCCAAAUACUAAAUUUCAAGAUAAAUUCCAAAUACAGCAUUUUUACAAAUAAAAGAAAGACACGUACAUUGUAUUAUCCUGUGUUCACAAAUCCCUCUUUUUCUGAAAGAUUAGGCACUAUAAGUGUGAAGAUCAUAUUUUUUAUUCUUUUAUCUAGCCCACUUAUUAUUCACUUAAAAUUUAAAAUAAAUAAAUAAAUUUGGGCACAAUAUAAGAUCAACAUGUGAACAAAGGUCUUAGUCAUUAAAACUUGAAACCUAGUUCGAGGGUCUGACACUCAAAUAACUAGCAAUGAAGGAAGUAAGAGAGCUUGGAUUAUGAUUCAUAUUUGCCCACCAAGUACCAGACAAAUAAGUUUAAGCUAUUUUUUCCUGAUAUUUCUUGACCUUAAAAAAAGCACACCCACACACAUACAUCCACAUCCACACACACACACACACACACACACAAACACAAACACACAUGCACAGAGCCAAAAUAUUGCAGUCAUCAAAUGAAGUAAGAUACAUAUUUUGGGCACUGCAAACUUCUAUAUAUUCUUUUAGUUGUUGUGCUGGGCUCCCUGAAAACACAGGGUGUGUGUAUGGAGUAAGCGUCCUGAUUUCUUGCAGAGAUCAUCAGAUAAGGAACUAAAGUCUGAAAAGACCAAGCGGCCCUCUCAUGCAGUGCCUUGACGAUCCUGAGAGGGAGCAUAGGCAGUGGGGGAGGAUGUUCUUGGAGUGGCACGUGUCUUGCCCUGUGUUUCAAUGUAUCUUGUUGAGGAUGUAUCUGUUCAGCACUUUUUCCAGGAUAUUAUUCAACUGUGAUUUUUAGUGAUGAGACUCUAGCUUACUGCAAAAAAGGUCAUGCAACUUAACCUAAACCGAAUGCCCUGGCCUAGAAAUUUGCAUUUUAAGGAUUGAAAGAGCUGAAGGGGCUUGCAACCCCAUAAGAACAACAAUGCCAAUCAACCAGAGCUUCCAGGGACUAAACCACUACCCAAAGACUAUACAUGGACUGACCCUGGGCUCCAACUGCAUAUGUAGCAGAGAAUAGCCUUGUUGGGGCAUCAGUGGAAGGGGAAACCUUUGGUCCUGCCAAGGUUGGACCCCCAGUAAGGGGAAUGUCAGGGUGGGGAGGGGGAAAGGAUGGGGGGGUUAUGGACAGGAAACUGGGAAAGGGAAUAACAUUUGAAAUGUAAAUAAAGAAAUAUAGCUAAUAAAAA
Rattus norvegicus (Norway rat) is the source of this 3140-nucleotide RNA transcript. It is a transcript of the gene named glyceraldehyde-3-phosphate dehydrogenase like 6, with no coding region annotated. The transcript is spliced from 3 exons. Lineage: Eukaryota; Metazoa; Chordata; Mammalia; Rodentia; Muridae. The record is from RefSeq and is marked validated.